RNAcentral lists this RNase P RNA (395 nucleotides) under Roseburia sp. Its description in RNAcentral is "RNase P RNA component class A". It matches the Rfam family "Bacterial RNase P class A". From Rfam's summary of the family: Ribonuclease P (RNase P) is a ubiquitous endoribonuclease, found in archaea, bacteria and eukarya as well as chloroplasts and mitochondria. Its best characterised activity is the generation of mature 5'-ends of tRNAs by cleaving the 5'-leader elements of precursor-tRNAs. The record is from RNAcentral. Lineage: Bacteria; Bacillati; Bacillota; Clostridia; Lachnospirales; Lachnospiraceae.
UAAGUAGGACAAAUGAUCGCGGCCCGGCUUUACAGCCGGGGUGAGGAAAGUCCGGGCUUCACAGGGCAGGAUGCCGGAUAACGUCCGGUGGAGGCGACUCCAAGGAUAGUGCAACAGAAAUAUACCGCCGCAUGGCACACGACACAUAGCUGUCGUGGCGUGCGGUAAGGUUGGAAGGGCAGUGUAAGAGACUACCGCCUCACUGGUAACAGGGAGGGCAUAUGUAAACCCCAUCCGAAGCAAGACCGAACAAAAGCGCUUACGUGGCCCGCCAGCUUUAGGUAGGUCGCUUGAGGUGGCUGGCAACAGUCAUCCUAGAUAGAUGAUCAUUCCGCUUAUUUGCAGUAUGAUGCAAAUAAGCGUGACAUAACCCGGCUUAUCGUCCUGCUUAUUUU